GGGCCCUUAGCUCAGCCUGGUUAGAGCGCUCGGCUCAUAUCGACCGUCGACUCGUACCGGGUCCGGUCGUGGGACACCGAGUGGUCGAUGGUUCGAAUCCGUCAGGGCCCA
Molecule: transfer RNA, 111 nt
Filed under: Haloarchaeobius iranensis
Lineage: Archaea; Methanobacteriati; Methanobacteriota; Halobacteria; Halobacteriales; Halorubellaceae
Description: Halobacteriaceae archaeon EB21 tRNA
Rfam family: tRNA
About the family: Transfer RNA (tRNA) molecules are approximately 80 nucleotides in length. Their secondary structure includes four short double-helical elements and three loops (D, anti-codon, and T loops).
Source: Rfam by way of RNAcentral